Molecule: transfer RNA, 73 nt
Filed under: Chloroflexota bacterium
Lineage: Bacteria; Bacillati; Chloroflexota
Description: Chloroflexi bacterium (groundwater metagenome) tRNA-Ile
Rfam family: tRNA
About the family: Transfer RNA (tRNA) molecules are approximately 80 nucleotides in length.
Source: RNAcentral
GGACCGGUAGCACGAUGGUUCGUGCAGCACUCUUAUAAAGUGUUGGUUAUGUGUUCAAGUCACAUCCGGUCCA